UGCAUAUCAAUAAGCGGAGGAAAAGAAACUAACAAGGAUUCCCCUAGUAACUGCGAGUGAAGCGGGAAAAGCUCAAAUUUAAAAUCUGGCGGUCUUUGGCCGUCCGAGUUGUAGUCUGGAGAAGUGCUUUCCGCGCUGGACCGUGUAUAAGUCUCUUGGAACAGAGCGUCAUAGAGGGUGAGAAUCCCGUCUUUGACACGGACUACCAGUGCUUUGUGAUGCGCUCUCAAAGAGUCGCGUUGUUUGGGAAUGCAGCGCAAAAUGGGUGGUGAAUUCCAUCUAAAGCUAAAUAUUGGCGAGAGACCGAUAGCGAACAAGUACCGUGAGGGAAAGAUGAAAAGCACUUUGGAAAGAGAGUUAAACAGUACGUGAAAUUGCUGAAAGGGAAACGCUUGAAGUCAGUCGCGUUGUCCGGGACUCAGCCUUGCUUCGGCUUGGUGCACUUUCCGGAUGACGGGCCAGCAUCGAUUUUGACCGCUGGAAAAGGGCUGGAGGAAUGUGGCACCUUCGGGUGUGUUAUAGCCUCCAGUCGCAUACGGCGGUUGGGAUCGAGGAACGCAGCACGCCUUACGGCGGGGGUUCGCCCACCUUCGUGCUUAGAUGCUGGCACAUUGGCAGUUAAACGACCCGUCUUGAAACACGGACA
This 646-nucleotide ribosomal RNA is filed under the name Trametes cinnabarina. RNAcentral's name for it is "eukaryotic LSU rRNA". It matches the Rfam family "Eukaryotic large subunit ribosomal RNA", at positions 37 to 667 of the family's 3401-position model. Lineage: Eukaryota; Fungi; Basidiomycota; Agaricomycetes; Polyporales; Polyporaceae. The record is from RNAcentral.